GCCGAGAGUAUGCGGGCCUUUCGAGCCCGUGACCCGGGUUCAAAUCCCGGCCGCGGCA
This 58-nucleotide transfer RNA is filed under the name Sulfuracidifex metallicus DSM 6482 = JCM 9184. RNAcentral's name for it is "Sulfolobus metallicus DSM 6482 tRNA". It matches the Rfam family "tRNA", at positions 15 to 71 of the family's 71-position model. From Rfam's summary of the family: Transfer RNA (tRNA) molecules are approximately 80 nucleotides in length. Their secondary structure includes four short double-helical elements and three loops (D, anti-codon, and T loops). The record is from Rfam by way of RNAcentral. Lineage: Archaea; Thermoproteati; Thermoproteota; Thermoprotei; Sulfolobales; Sulfolobaceae.